GGUGAGAUGUCCGAGUGGCUUAAGGAGCACGCUUGGAAAGCGUGUGACGGGUCAAACUGUCCGAGGGUUCGAAUCCCUCUCUCACCGCCA
Molecule: transfer RNA, 90 nt
Filed under: Gammaproteobacteria bacterium
Lineage: Bacteria; Pseudomonadati; Pseudomonadota; Gammaproteobacteria
Description: tRNA-Ser
Rfam family: tRNA
About the family: Transfer RNA (tRNA) molecules are approximately 80 nucleotides in length. Their secondary structure includes four short double-helical elements and three loops (D, anti-codon, and T loops).
Source: RNAcentral